Molecule: ribosomal RNA, 433 nt
Filed under: uncultured bacterium
Lineage: Bacteria
Description: partial 16S ribosomal RNA
Rfam family: Bacterial small subunit ribosomal RNA
Source: RNAcentral
AACGAACGCUGGCGGCAUGCCUAACACAUGCAAGUCGAACGAGACCUUCGGGUCUAGUGGCGCACGGGUGCGUAACGCGUGGGAACCUGCCCUUAGGUUCGGAAUAACUCCCCGAAAGGGGUGCUAAUACCGGAUAAUGUCUUCGGACCAAAGAUUUAUCGCCUUUGGAUGGGCCCGCGUUGGAUUAGCUAGUUGGUUGGGUAAAAGCCUACCAAGGCGACGAUCCAUAGCUGGUCUGAGAGGAUGAUCAGCCACACUGGGACUGAGACACGGCCCAGACUCCUACGGGAGGCAGCAGUGGGGAAUAUUGGACAAUGGGCGAAAGCCUGAUCCAGCAAUGCCGCGUGAGUGAUGAAGGCCUUAGGGUUGGAAAGCUCUUUUACCCGGGAUGAUAAUGACAGUACCGGGAGAAUAAGCUCCGGCUAACUCCGUG